This 248-nucleotide ribosomal RNA is filed under the name uncultured bacterium. RNAcentral describes it as "partial 16S ribosomal RNA". It matches the Rfam family "Bacterial small subunit ribosomal RNA", at positions 989 to 1226 of the family's 1533-position model. The record is from RNAcentral.
GGAGUGACCGCUCUUUAAUCGGAGCUUUCCUUCGGGACACUCCAGACAGGUGGUGCAUGGUUGUCGUCAGCUCGUGUCGUGAGAUGUUGGGUUAAGUCCCGCAACGAGCGCAACCCUUAUCCUUAGUAGCCAGCGGUUCGGCCGGGCACUCUAGGGAGACUGCCAGGGAUAACCUGGAGGAAGGUGGGGAUGACGUCAAAUCAUCAUGCCCCUUAUGAUUUGGGCUACACACGUGGUCGACGCGGCCG